GGGCCUGUGGUCUAUUGGUGUGAUGUCGCUUUCACAGAGCGAAGAUAAGCGGUUCGAUUCCGCUCAGGCCCA
RNAcentral lists this transfer RNA (72 nucleotides) under Candidatus Diapherotrites archaeon CG08_land_8_20_14_0_20_34_12. RNAcentral's name for it is "tRNA-Val". It matches the Rfam family "tRNA". From Rfam's summary of the family: Transfer RNA (tRNA) molecules are approximately 80 nucleotides in length. The record is from RNAcentral. Lineage: Archaea; Nanobdellati; Candidatus Iainarchaeota.